This 22-nucleotide non-coding RNA is filed under the name Arabidopsis thaliana (thale cress). The record is from RNAcentral. Lineage: Eukaryota; Viridiplantae; Streptophyta; Magnoliopsida; Brassicales; Brassicaceae.
GUGAUCCAGAGUGUUGCGGUCG